RNAcentral lists this ribosomal RNA (173 nucleotides) under uncultured Selenomonas sp. RNAcentral's name for it is "partial 16S ribosomal RNA". It matches the Rfam family "Bacterial small subunit ribosomal RNA", at positions 359 to 523 of the family's 1533-position model. Lineage: Bacteria; Bacillati; Bacillota; Negativicutes; Selenomonadales; Selenomonadaceae. The record is from RNAcentral.
GAAUCUUCCACAAUGGGCGAAAGUCUGAUGGAGCAACGCCGCGUGAGUGAAGAAGGGUUUCGGCUCGUAAAGCUCUGUUGUCGGGGACGAAUGUGCAGUAUUUGAAUAAAGUACUGCAAUGGCGGUACCUGACGAGGAAGCCACGGCUAACUACGUGCCAGCAGCCGCGGUAU